Long non-coding RNA from Pyrus x bretschneideri (Chinese white pear), 1424 nucleotides. RefSeq lists it as uncharacterized. The record is from RefSeq and is a predicted model, not a curated record. NCBI's taxonomy places the organism in Eukaryota, Viridiplantae, Streptophyta, Magnoliopsida, Rosales, Rosaceae. The transcript is spliced from 4 exons.
AAUACGAACGAUGUACUCAUUCAUAAUGUGACUGAGGAUAUGACUAUGCAGUCAGUAACUCCGCGCCUUUGUCAACACAACUCACAGUGUCCUCCACCACUGUUUCAUCUUCUACUUCAACAGCUGAAAUUACCACUGAGCAAUCAGAUAAACGGAAGAGGGAAUCAAUUAGGAGAGUUCUUUUUACUGCCGGCGAACAAAGUGGAGCCGAGGAAAUUUCAGACAUAGAUCUAAGAGAAUUGGAUGAAGUGCCAAUCAAAUUGCUUAAGAAGAAGUCAUCCCCAACUGGUGAAAAGUUGAACUCCACUCCUCCAAAAAGAAGCUAGGUUGGUUUUUCAAAAAUGGACGGUGCAAUAGCAGAAGUUGACCGCAAUGCCCAAAAAUUCUGAUGGUUUUUUGUUAAUAUGUAUCAAACAAUAUUUAUCUUAUCUGGUUGCGAUGUAAAUAUCUCUCUAAACUGAACUUCGUAGUAUAUUUUGCCUGUAAAUAGACCAGUACUUGCCAAUUUUUUGUAUCCGAAUGCUGGUUGCGCUUGAAAGCUGGUUCCAAGUGCUAAAAUCGAACACAUGUCUGUAAUAUUUUUUUGUAUGUAAAUAAACAACUUUUAACCUUUUGUAUCUGCAUUGUACAAAUUAAACAUUUUCUUUAUAACCCUUUUGUGAGCUCUCUAUUUUUUAUGCUGUCGAUGUUUUAUCAUGCCAUUUCUACAUCUUCUCAGCAUGAUGUUAAGUAUACUUUCCCACCUGCAGUUGUUUUGAAGUAACGUUCGUCCAAACUAUGAUUUUGUCUCUGUAAUCAGAUGCUUCAAAUCGCUGUUUGGUUUCGUUCUUCUUCACUUUCAAGAACGAUCAAUGUUUAUUGAAGGUAUAUAACCCGUUCAGGCAUUUAGUUUUUUUGCUUUGAUUUGAAGAAUUUCUUACCUAGCAUUUGAUCCUAGCUACUGAUAAGAGUCAGGUUUUAUAACUCAAACCAUUUCCAAUAGCCAUUUGGUAAUAGGAUGAAGUUCAUGCAUAUAAAAGUGGUUUCCUAAACAAUUACAUCAAAUUUUGAAGUAAAAAAUCUAAUAACAUUACUAUACUUUCAGUUUGAUUCAAUGACAUCAAAUUUUGACGUAACAAAAAGUUUUUUUGCUUUCAUUUUACAAAACUCAUUGAUGUACUCAUCUAAUUCUUAAAUUUUCAGUCUUUUUAAUGAAUAGUUUGGUAUUUGGGCAGCUUUAAUCUUUCAUUUUAAAUAUGUGAUUUUGUCUAAUUUUUUCUGAUCCUCAAUUUCUAUUGUCGUUUACAGUUUAAUGGACAUUCUUAAAUGACUUUGGUUAACACCAAACAAAUGAUAUGUGCCAUUUUUUUUUUCCUAUUCCUUUACUUUCAUUCAAAGUUUUGUUUGAAUUCACAAGCCGCUAUACACCUUUGAUUCAAACUUCA